CGAACCGACGAUAUUUGGACCGACAACACCUCUUUGACCUGGAAUUAUUUAUGUAUAUACUGUAUCUAGAAAGCUAAAUUCUAUAGUUGAAUAUUUCGAUGAAGACUAGCAGGGCCAUACAUUACUAGAAUAAUAAAAAUUUCGCUGGCGAUAAUUAAAUGAAAAAUUUCUGUAGCACCAAUUGCAAGAUAUGGGUUGCUCAAAAUUGCAGGAAUGAAUGAAUGAAAAAGACUGAAGCAGUAGCUGUACAAAUGACAAUGAACAUGGAAACAAGUAAAAAAGCAACUUUUGCAGACUUUAAGUUGUUUGUGUCAAAUUGGUACGAUGAACACAUACCCAUCAAUAUGCUGAAAGUAUUAUUUAAGGACCAUGUAGAAAAUACUUUCGCAUUACAUAUUUCUUCUAAGACAAUUACCUUAAUGAAUAUGCUGAUAACAUCUGGAAGUUUGAGUCCAACAGACCUCACUCUCCUUUAUGAUACUAUUAAGGCAACAAAGCAAUUUGGUCUGGAAGAAGAAAUUCAAAAUGAA
This is a long non-coding RNA of Anneissia japonica, 530 nucleotides long. RefSeq lists it as uncharacterized. The record is from RefSeq and is a predicted model, not a curated record. Lineage: Eukaryota; Metazoa; Echinodermata; Crinoidea; Comatulida; Comatulidae. The transcript is spliced from 4 exons.